Molecule: long non-coding RNA, 1972 nt
Organism: Mastomys coucha (southern multimammate mouse)
Lineage: Eukaryota; Metazoa; Chordata; Mammalia; Rodentia; Muridae
Exons: 3
Source: RefSeq, a predicted model, not a curated record
GGCGGUGACGUCUAGCCCCGGCUGGGGCGCCUCCCUCCUGCCUCCCGCUGACCCGCCGCGGGCGGUCCCGGCCCGGAGCUCCACGCACAGCGCCUCCUUCCCGGUCUGCCUGCUGCUAGGCCGGGCGGCUCCUGCGCUCUCCGGGCGCGCAAGGCGACUUUCUCCUCCUCGUUCCUACUCUGGAUCCUCGGGAUUCUCCAGCCCCGAGUUGAGCGCUCGGUCAGGCCCACACCGGGGUGGGAUCGACUCGUCGCUGGAGUCCAGAGUCCCCGGGGCGGCGCCGCACGGGGCGGGGACGAGGGCUCAUACCACGCGGGAAUCGGGACAGUGGGACUGGUGCUGGUCCCCGCGCCGCCCUCGACCCGCCUGGUCUGGGCCGGGACUCAGGCUGGCCCUCCCCGUGUCCCCUCGGUUCCCGGCGUCUCCGCCCCGGGUCCUCCCGCGCAUUCCGGUCGUGCCUUAGCUUGACGGAGGCCCGGGACGCGGUGGGACAGACAGACCAGAAGGCAAGACCGUGUGGUUCUUAGAAGAGGAGCCCUAGGAGGGUUGUCCGCCCAAAGGAUAUGGGACAGAAUUGUAGGGGACAGGGGUCUCCCUGGAGAGAACAACUCAGUAGGAACUUAGGAAGUCCCCCUUGGCAGAGCUGCCCACUGAGAACGAAAGCACCGCACUGCUCCCAACUGAAAACAGUGUCUAGCAUUAAGAAUUAGUCAAGAGAAAGAAAACACAAAGAUUGGGAGCCUUUUCCCCAGCUAACCCCGAGUGACCCAUAUAUUCGGCAUCAGACCGCAUAAAAGCAGGUCUCAGGGGUUGACAGUUCACAGGGCCUGGUACCUGACAAAUACCCACCGUCUAUCUGCUGAACAAGUGAACUAAUGGCACAAAGAACUGAAUGAGAGAGAUGGACAAUCUGGCCUUCACAUAAAAACGGCUCUUCUUCCCCUUCCAUUAAUGGAACAUUGGGAGAAUUUUCACAAUCCACUGUCAGCCCUGAGUUUUACUGGAAGCACACAAGCCCUGUGUGCUUGAACCACCUUUUAAAAAAAGAGCAAUGUUUAUGGUCACUGUCCCUCAAGAGUGGGGUCUCAGAGCAUGAGCUUUUCCUUUAUGCAAUGGUUGCGUCUUCUGAAUUUAACCCAAAGCCAGGGGCAUCGCUACUGUAAUUGCAAAGUAAUUUCAAAGUUCAUCUGAGCAAAUUCUUUGCUUUCGGUGACCACAUUUUUUUCCUCCUGGCAGAUGGCAUGGACACUAUCUAUCUCUGCUGCUCAGUUUAGUCAGUGUUCCAUCAUUGUGACAAAAAGAAAAAGAAAAAAAAAUCACCUACGAUAUGGGGGUAUUCAAAGGGGAAAAAUAUGCUUUGACUCAUGGUCACUUAGUCCUGUUGCUUUGGGCCUAGAGAGAGGCCACACGUAGAGAUGGAAGCACAUGGAGAGAUCUGCUCACCUUGGUAGCCAGCAAACCAAGGCUCCAGUGGCCUAAUUCCCCCCACCAGGCCUACCUCCCAAGAGUUCUACUACUUCUCAAUAGUACCACAACCUGGUGGCCACAUGUUUAGGAUAUGGGACUUCGAGGACACUUAUAAUCCAAACCAUGAAAACCACAAAACGUGGAUGGACUACAUGUGACCUCUGGAACCUUGAGCCUCCCCAGCAGGACUUCUCUAUGGUUCUGUCUUUGAAUCUGUGUUUGCUAUCCCAUCUCAGGCUCACAGCUCAUAAGGCAAGGAAAUCCCCUGGCCUUUCCUGACUGUCUCCUACCUGCCGUUCACAUCAACCUGCACACUAUCCCGUCUGCUCCUCUCCUGAAGAUGGUAGUAGCUCGUGGCCUAGGCCACAGAUUUCACCUUUGGCUACCUUAGAGGUGAUAGCAUAUAUUUGAGUAGAUUGUUUUUAUUCUGAAACUUUUUUUUAAAUAUGGUACAAAAUAUUUAUAUAUCGUAUAAUAAAGCAAAUGGCUUACAGUUGGCCGGGAA